Molecule: long non-coding RNA, 2334 nt
Organism: Eriocheir sinensis (Chinese mitten crab)
Lineage: Eukaryota; Metazoa; Arthropoda; Malacostraca; Decapoda; Varunidae
Exons: 3
Source: RefSeq, a predicted model, not a curated record
UUCUUUAUGGUGGUCAAAUCUUGCAUCUCAUUUCCCUAUCGUCCAUUCUCUCUCCUCCUCCUCCUCCUCCUCCUCUCUCUAUAUAUAUCUUCAUCCCGUCCUUCCUUUUAAUUAAUGUCUAAGUUAUCCUUUGAGUGACGUUCUUUCUGGCGGUCAAAUCUUGCAUCCAAUUUCCUAUCGUCCAUUCUCUCUCUUCCUCCUCUUCUGUCUAUCUUCAUCCCUUCCUUCCUUUUAAGUAAUGUCUAAGUUAUCUUUCGCUCAAGGUUCCUUCCAGUGUGUUUGUGGUGUCCGGCUCUGCUUGCUAGUUAGUUUUGUCACUGUAUAAUUGUCAAUCCUAGCUAGUUUUGUCACUGUAUAAUUGUCAGUCCUAGUUUGCUUUGUCCCUGUAUAAUUGUCCGUCCCAGCCAGGCGCCUCUUCCAUGUAAAGAUAUCGGCAGCUUCAAGCCUUGCCGAUAUCUCAAUCCGUACGUGAAUGUAAAUUAACCGAAAUCCUUGUUACUAAGCCCUGCACGGUGCUCUCUCACAUAAUGCUUCUUUAAAUUUUCAGUCUCACUUAAUUUCCGGGGUUAGUAAUAUAUUUUGCCAUAAGUUAACUCCCCGUGAUGGCCAGUUUCAUGUACUAUAUAUAAGUAAUUUGCCUUUUGCAUGGCUAUAAUUCUGCAUCCUUGUCUAAGGCCCAGUUUCACAGUUCCUCAUGAUGGGUUAGUAAGCUCCGAAACCAAUACCAGAGCCUUCGAAAUUUCCUUGUACGGUGUCUGGAGUUUAUAUUCAAGUUCACAAAUUUGACGAGACUAUACAGGAAAGGUCUUGUGUGUUUAUGCUACGAAGGAAAGGGAGGAGAAGGGAGAUGAGAUUAGGAGACGAGUGAGCCGAGAUCCUGUUUAUAUUCAAGUUCACAAAUUUGACAAGACUAUACAGGAAAGGUCUUGUGUGUUUAUGCUACGAAGGAAAGGGAGGAGAAGGGAGAUGAGAUUAGGAGACGAGUGAGCCGAGAUCCUGUUUAUAUUCAAGUUCACAAAUUUGACAAGACUAUACAGGAAAAGCUCUCUGUUUAUGAUAUGAAGGAAAGGGAAGAGAAGGGAGAUGAGUAAGCUGAGAUCCUGUUUUUAUUCAAGUCCACAAAUUUGACGACACAAUACAGGAAAAGCUCUUUGUAUUUAGUGUGUCAUCGAAGACCGUGCCAUUUUGAACAGUAUGGGAUUCUAUAGCUUGGUUCGGGAGUGUUACAAAGACUGUGAUGGACUGUGGAAGCGGCCCUUAAUGUUCCCUUUUCUAAUAUGCCUCUCUGUUUUUGCAGGAUGCCGCGGACGGACCAUGCAGAGGACUCAUCGCGACGACACCAACGGUUUGGUUAAGUGGGUUCUUUUGUGUGUGCGUCUGUGUGUGAAUGGCAGGCCUGUCGUAUGAUUGUGUGUGUGUGUGCGUUGGCGUUAUGCCUUCGCACUAUUAUUUUGUUAGGAUGUAUUUUUUUGUGUGUGAACUUUUUGCACGUAAUCUUUUUUUAUACCCAUAGCUAGCGUUUGUUUGUGUGGCAGUGUUCCGGGAGAUGGACGCCGGGGGACAUGGGCUUGGGGAGGCGCACAUGACCUCCUCUGUCCGUGACCUCUUCAGCUGGGGAGACCGCGUGUUGCCCCGCCUGGAGAGACACGUUGAUGGAGGUGGCCGUGUGUGUCACCCUUUGCCUGUAUCCUCUGGCGUCCAGAGGCGCGUAAGCGGAGAGCAUCGGCGCAGCGCGGGAGCAGCACGUCAGGGUGUAGGGUGUUUGUUUAGCUGGUGUAGGGUGUUAGGGUGUUAGGUGUAACAACGGUUGGCUCUUUCACAGAACGGGUGUGACUCCGUUCUGCGUUUGAGUCUUCCACCUUCAGACGGUCUCCCUCCGAGAUGUCUGAAGUUUUUUUUGUCGGUUUUCUCCGUAGGAGGAAGCCGACUCUAGCUACUCUGGCCUCUCUUCCGGGGGUCAGAGCGGUCGGGCUCUGCUUGGCCAGGCGUUAGUCUUUCGCGUUGUCUCCGCCGACGUUUUGCCAGACUCUUCCGUAAGGUUGAGCCUGGCUUUUUUAUUAGGUGGAUCAGGCUGCCUUCUUCCAAGGAGUCUGAUGGGAGUGGAGUCUUUUUUUUGGUGUAUGUCUGUGGGUGCUCAGUGGGUAAGGGAGGGUGGGGUAGAAUGGUUGGUGGGCUGGAAGUGGGUUGGGGGAUGAGCCUCCUGGGAUUUGGGUUGUGUCGAGCCUUACCGCCUGGUGUGUUGGGUAACCUUCACGCCAGGGGGGGGGUGCCAAGACUAUAUCCAUCUCCUGGGCAGGGCGAUUCCCCUUUCCCAUGCCAACUGGCCCUCCUCCG